Molecule: long non-coding RNA, 232 nt
Organism: Zophobas morio
Lineage: Eukaryota; Metazoa; Arthropoda; Insecta; Coleoptera; Tenebrionidae
Exons: 3
Source: RefSeq, a predicted model, not a curated record
CGAAGAAUGUUUCUCUUGGAGCAUAUUCUGUCAGUUUGCUGGAAGCAUGUUUGCUGUAUGUUUUUGCUACAUCAGUCUAACUCUCGUUCCAUUAAACAGUGUAGAAGCCAUCACAUAUUUUGUGCUGAUAUUUAACCUUAGUUUUCAAAUAUUAUUUUACUGCCACUAUGGAACACUGCUGUAUGAGGAGAAUAAUGACUUAAUAAACGCAAUUUAUAUGGGCCCGUGGUAC